AGUGAACGCUGGCGGUAGGCCUAACACAUGCAAGUCGAACGGCAGCACAGUAAGAGCUUGCUCUUACGGGUGGCGAGUGGCGGACGGGUGAGGAAUACAUCGGAAUCUACUUUUUCGUGGGUGAUAACGUAGGGAAACUUACGCUAAUACCGCAUACGACCUACGGGUGAAAGCAGGGGAUCUUCCGACCUUGCGCGAUUGAAUGAGCCGAUGUCGGAUUAGCUAGUUGGCGGGGUAAAGGCCCACCAAGGCGACGAUCCGUAGCUGGUCUGAGAGGAUGAUCAGCGACACUGGAACUGAGACACGGUCCAGACUCCUACGGGAGGCAGCGGUGGGGAAUAUUGGACAAUGGGCGCAAGCCUGAUCCAGCCAUACCGCGUGGGUGAAGAAGGCCUUCGGGUUGUAAAGCCCUUUUGUUGGGAAAGAAAAGCAGCAGGUUAAUACCCCGCUGUUCUGACGGUACCCAAAGAAUAAGCACCGGCUAACUUCGUG
RNAcentral lists this ribosomal RNA (492 nucleotides) under uncultured bacterium. Its description in RNAcentral is "partial 16S ribosomal RNA". It matches the Rfam family "Bacterial small subunit ribosomal RNA", at positions 29 to 507 of the family's 1533-position model. The record is from RNAcentral.